Molecule: long non-coding RNA, 638 nt
Organism: Quercus robur (English oak)
Lineage: Eukaryota; Viridiplantae; Streptophyta; Magnoliopsida; Fagales; Fagaceae
Exons: 3
Source: RefSeq, a predicted model, not a curated record
CUCUCACAUACGAUUCCUCUCCCAUGAACAACGGCUCAAGUACCAUGGGCUGUUCCUCUCUCAUCUGCGUCAGCAUCAUGGAAGUUCACUGUGCGGCCACCUUGCCGUGGUUGGUUCAGUUCGUUCUCUGAUGCCGUUUCGGUAUUCGUUUAAAACGAAAACUGAUCUAGCCCAAACGAAAACGAAAGCCCCUCUGUCCUCUUCUAAUCCACCACUCCAAGCCUCAUUCACGGGUAUAGCUAUUUGUAAAGGCAUAAGCUAGAGGCUUUGAUGAGGCCCAUGUUGAUGAUGGUUUACUAGAAAUAUUUGGCCUAAAGCAAGGGUGGCAUGCAUCUUUUGUUAUGGUUUAACUCAUCUCUGCCAAACACAUUGCUCAGCAGAAGAUCCAGACGAAUGGCAACUUGGAUAACCUAGUUGGAGUGGUUCCUUUAUGUCAUUGUGAUGCAUAUGAUAAUUAGCUUGUAACAAAAAUUAUUUUUAAGGAUGAGAUUUGAAUAAUAAAGCAUUCAGAUUAUUUCCAAAAAUUCUCCCCUCCAUGUCUAGUACAAAUUCUUGUAACUUCAAAGUACGUAUGCAAUGUGAAUUUGUAAAUUCUUGUAAUUUCAAAAUUCUUAAUAUAAUGUGAGUUUGUAUCUUCA